RNAcentral lists this unclassified non-coding RNA (266 nucleotides) under Hevea brasiliensis (rubber tree). Lineage: Eukaryota; Viridiplantae; Streptophyta; Magnoliopsida; Malpighiales; Euphorbiaceae. The record is from RNAcentral.
UGAUAGGAAGGCAAAGUUUUGGAUAAAUAUUGAUUGCAUUAUAUUUAGCAUUGUAAUGCUGUUUAUUUGAUAGAAGAGUACAUUUUCAUUCUGACUAAAGGCACAUUCUAUUUGUUUCUUUUCCUUUACCAUUUUUUGAUCCUUCACUAUAAGUUUUGCCCUCUCAAGAUACCUGCUCACAUUGAGAAUCUGCUAAUACAUUGGCAACAAAUGGUCUUCUAUAUAAGCUUUACCUUCUUCUUACAUCAUAAUCUUGUUAGAACUGA